Molecule: ribosomal RNA, 484 nt
Filed under: uncultured bacterium
Lineage: Bacteria
Description: partial 16S ribosomal RNA
Rfam family: Bacterial small subunit ribosomal RNA
Source: RNAcentral
AUUGAACGCUGGCGGCAGGCCUAACACAUGCAAGUCGAGCGGAUGAAGGGAGCUUGCUCCUGGAUUCAGCGGCGGACGGGUGAGUAAUGCCUAGGAAUCUGCCUGGUAGUGGGGGAUAACGUCCGGACACGGGCGCUAAUACCGCAUACGUCCUGAGGGAGAAAGUGGGGGAUCUUCGGACCUCACGCUAUCAGAUGAGCCUAGGUCGGAUUAGCUAGUUGGUGGGGUAAAGGCCUACCAAGGCGACGAUCCGUAACUGGUCUGAGAGGAUGAUCAGUCACACUGGAACUGAGACACGGUCCAGACUCCUACGGGAGGCAGCAGUGGGGAAUAUUGGACAAUGGGCGAAAGCCUGAUCCAGCCAUGCCGCGUGUGUGAAGAAGGUCUUCGGAUGGUAAAGCACUUUAAGUUGGGAGGAAGGGCAGUAAGUUAAUACCUUGCUGUUUUGACGUUACCAACAGAAUAAGCACCGGCUAACUUCGUG